CUACGGAGAAGAGUAAUCACAAUGCUCAUCAAGGAUGCUGGAGCUCCCGUCACAAACUUUUUUCUCAAAGUAUUGGUGAAAGAGGCGGUCACUGUUGGGGCAGUAUAGAAGACGACAGAUGAUUGUCGGUUCCAGAUUUUCAGCCCAUAAUUCUAACGCCACAGAACAUGGAUGAACAGGGAAUAAUAGCUGGGAGAUGGAAGGACAUCUCUGGCAGCACUGACUCAAAGUAUCAGAGAGCUGAAAGGGAUGGUGGGCCAUCAUCUGGACCAGUCUCCUAAUGCUGGAGAGAUGAACGUCCAAAGCUAUUACAGAAGAGGCUGUCUAGUGUAUGUAAGAUUACAUUCUCAACACUUUUGGGUAUUCUUGGGAUACAUACACCAUUAUCAGGAAUCCUAAACCUGAGAAUAAAUUAAGAUAGUCAUUUUGACUUUUACUCUAAUCUCCAGGCAACAUCC
Molecule: long non-coding RNA, 458 nt
Filed under: Equus caballus (horse)
Lineage: Eukaryota; Metazoa; Chordata; Mammalia; Perissodactyla; Equidae
Description: lncRNA (ENSECAG00000046602.1)
Source: RNAcentral